RNAcentral lists this ribosomal RNA (253 nucleotides) under uncultured bacterium. RNAcentral's name for it is "partial 16S ribosomal RNA". It matches the Rfam family "Bacterial small subunit ribosomal RNA", at positions 524 to 776 of the family's 1533-position model. The record is from RNAcentral.
UACGGGGGGGGCAAGCGUUGUUCGGAAUUACUGGGCGUAAAGGGCUCGUAGGCGGCCAACUAAGUCGGAUGUGAAAUCCCACGGCUCAACCGUGGACGUGCAUCCGAAACUGCUCGGCUCGAGUAUGGAAGAGGGUCGCGGAAUUCCCGGUGUAGAGGUGAAAUUCGUAGAUAUCGGGAGGAACACCAGUGGCGAAGGCGGCGACCUGGGCCAAUACUGACGCUGAGGUGCGAAAGCGUGGGGAGCAAACAGG